CGAGCGGCCUAUUUCCUAUCAGCUAGUUGGUGAGGUAAUGGCUCACCAAGGCGACGACGGGUAGCGGGACUGAGAGGUUGGCCCGCCACAUCGGGACUGAGACACUGCCCGGACCUCCACGGAGGGCUGCAGUAACGAAUAUUGGGCAAUGGGCGAAAGCCUGACCCAGCGAUGCCGCGUGUAGGAUGAAGUCCCUCGGGAUGUAAACUACUUUCAGGGAUCAGAAAGUUUCGGCUGAUCAAUCCCAGAAGAAGUCACGGCUAACUUCGUGCCAGCAGCCGCGGUAAUACGAAGGUGGCAAGCGUUAUUCGAAAUCACUGGGCUUAAAGGGCGCGUAGGCGGACAUGAAAGUGCUUUGUGAAAUCCCCCGGCUUAACCGGGGAAUUGCUUGGCAUACUCCAUGUCUUGAGGGCAAGCAGGGGUGUGUGGAACUCUUGGUGGAGCGGUGGAAUGCGUAGAUAUCAAGAGGAACGCCGAAGGUGAAGACAGCACACUGGGCUUGUACUGACGCUGAGGCGCGAAAGCGUGGGGAGCAAACAGGAUUAGAUACCCUGGUAGUCCACGCCGUAAACCAUAUCUACUAGGUUGUGGGGGUUCUGACACUCUCACAGUCGCAGCAAAAGUGUUAA
RNAcentral lists this ribosomal RNA (629 nucleotides) under uncultured bacterium. RNAcentral's name for it is "bacterial SSU rRNA". It matches the Rfam family "Bacterial small subunit ribosomal RNA", at positions 223 to 863 of the family's 1533-position model. The record is from RNAcentral.